UUGUACUAUAGCAUAACCUGCCUUUGCUGGUGUGUGGUGAUUAGGCCUGGUGGAACCGCCAUCAAUAAAUCAAGCGUGAUCAGGGUGAGGAACAGGAAAGAAGGAAAUCUGGGGAAAUGGGAUGAAUGUCAGGUGGAUCAGAGAGAUACAGUCAUGGGGGUCAGGUGCGGUAUCAGGAAUAAUGUGGGAGGCCGGAUUGAAGUCUGGGCCAGGAACAACGGUAAUUGUGGGAGACUCAACAAAGAGUGAGUAUAGCUGAAGGAGCCGGGAAGCAGAAAGUAUAUGCGUCAGGUAUGAGGAAGAAAAUAGAUUUUGGAAGUUAUGAGAACUGUAGAGAGUGAGUUGAGCAUAGUUUGUGAUUUUUAGGGCCUCUAACAGUAUUAAAGCAGUGGCAGCCACUGCACGCAGACAUGAGGGCUAGGCUAAAACAGUAAGGUCAAGUUGUUUGGACAGAAAGGCUACAGGGUGUGGUCCUGGCUCUUGUGUAAGAGUUCUGACCACACUAACCAUGUUUAGGAAGGAAAGGAGUUGUUGUUUUGUAGAAGGUGCUGGGGUUUGAGAGAUCAGUUGGACAUGAUUGGCAGGGAGAGCACGUGUGUUUUUAUGAGAAUUAUGCCGAGAUAGGUAACAGAUGAGGAAGAAAUUUGGGCUUGAUGGAAGUAAUGGGGGCUGUCUGUGAAGCUUUGCAGCAGUACAGCCUAGGUAAUUUGCUGAGCUUGAUGGGUGUCAGGGUCAGUCCAAGUGAAAGUGGAGAGAGGCUGGGAUUAAGGGUGCAAAGGAAUAGUAAAGAAAGCAUGUUUGAGAUCUAGAACAGAAUAAUGGGUUAGAGAGGCAGGUAUUGAGGAUAGGAGAGGCUAUGGGUUUGGCACCACGGGGUGAAUAGGCAAAACAAUUUGGUUGAUAAGGUGCAGAUCCUGAACUAACUUGUAAGGCUUGUCUGGUUUUAGGACAGGUAAAAUGGGAGAAUUGUAAGGAGAGUUUAUAGGCUUUAAAAGGCCAUGCUGUAGCAGGCGAGUGAUAACAGGCUUUAAUCUUUUUAAAGCGUGCUGUGGGAUGGGAUAUUGGAGUUGAGUGGGGUAAGGGUGAUUAGGUUUUAAUGAGAUGGUAAGGGGUGCAUGAUCAGUCGCCAAGGAGGGAGUAGAGGUAUCUUAUACUUGUGGGUUAAGGUGGGGGGAUACAAGAGGAGGACGCAAAGGAGGCUUUGGAUUGGGAAGAAGGGCGGCAAUGAGAUACAGCUGUAGUCCAGGAAUAGUCAGGGAAGCAGAUAAUUUAGUUAAAGUGUCUCAGUCUAAUAAGGGAACUGGGCAGGUGGGGAUAACUAAAAAGGAGUGCUUAAAAGAGUAUUUUCUAAGUUGGCACUAGAGUUGGGGAGUUUUAAGAGGUUUAGCAGCCUGGCCGUCAAUACCCACAACAGUUAUGGAGGCAAGGGAAACAGGCCCUUGAAAAGAAGGUAAUGUGGAGUGGGUAGCCUCCGUAUUGAUUAAGAAGGGGACGGGCUUACCUUUCACUGUGAGAGUUACCCGAAGCUCGGCGUUCGUGAUGGUCUAGGGGGCUUCCGAGGCGAUUGGGCAGUGUCAGUCUUCAGCCGCUAAGCCGAGAAGAUCUGGGAAGGAGUCAGUCAGAGAGCCUUGGGCCAGAGUUCCAGGGGCUCUGGGAGUGGCUGCUAGGUGAGUUGAACAGUCUGAUUUUCAGUGGGGUCCCACAGAGAUGGGACGCGGCUUAGGAGGAAUCCAGGGCAGCGGGCAUUCCUUGGCCCAGUGGCCAGAUUUCCGGCACGUGUAGCAAGCUCCUGGGGAAGGAGGUUCUGGAGGAACGCCUGGCCGCUGCGGUUCAGGCGUUUGGAAGUUCUCGUGUGCUGGAGAUGUGGCUGGGAUUUGUCUCACAGUGAAGAAUCAGCUGGGAACAAUGACUGCCAAAAGUGUCCAGAGGAAGUCUGCAGGAGCUGGGUCUCUCCUAGGUGGAAUAUUCUUUGAAAUCAGCCACCUCCAGAUAAAAAGACAAAAUGCCUCCCAAAGCUACGAGAUGAACUACAGAAUUCUAAUUGUUCCCGUGCUUCCUGAAG
Molecule: long non-coding RNA, 2062 nt
Organism: Pan troglodytes (chimpanzee)
Lineage: Eukaryota; Metazoa; Chordata; Mammalia; Primates; Hominidae
Exons: 3
Source: RefSeq, a predicted model, not a curated record